This is a long non-coding RNA of Chlorocebus sabaeus (green monkey), 785 nucleotides long. RefSeq lists it as uncharacterized. NCBI's taxonomy places the organism in Eukaryota, Metazoa, Chordata, Mammalia, Primates, Cercopithecidae. The record is from RefSeq and is a predicted model, not a curated record.
UCCAUUUUGUUCCCACUGAUCCCUUGUUUAUCUCACUGGGAAUGCAGCCGCGGUGGAAGACGGGGCCAAGGGAAAGGCCAGAGCCUGGGUCCGUCUCCAGCCUCACUCGCCCUCCUCCCUCACCUGGUCCCUGAGCUGAGAACCAGGGCCCGGCCUGAGAACCCCCAGGGUAGCACCUGGAGGCCGGGUCUGCACCGUGCCCUGACACUGACAGGCUGUGUGACGACAGCUGACAGCUAACCUCUGGUUUUACUUUCUAUCACCCCGUUAAAGGCAGAGCAGUGGGCGCACGUGCUAUGGCUUGAAGCAGGCCUGUCUGAAUUCUUAGCAGCGAUCUCCAAGGGCACCAUAACCUUGCAAGAAAGAGACUGCCAGGCCUGCAUCUCUUUCUGAUGCAGAAACCAGGGCCCGGAGAAGGGGCUGGAGCAUCUUGGACGGAGAAACCUCGGCAAAGACAAAAGGCCCAUUGUCCCCCUUCCCCGGCCUUCUGCCAGCUCCCUCCCCAGUCACCAGACGAGGCCAGCCCUGCCCACAGCCCCCAGAGGCUGCCACGCGCCAAUAUGGGGUGACUCAGUGCCCCCUCCCUUCCCAUUGGUUGAUGAUGCCUGGAAUCCCACCAUCAGAGCUUUGUAAGGUUGCUGUGGGAUGGGUGGGGGUGAGGCAGAAAAAGACAAGAAGGUGGUGGGGGCCUCUGGCUUGUGGAUUUCAUAAUCACACCUUUACGGUGGGCUUGGGUGGGAGAUCAGGCAACACUAAAUAAUAAAAACACCAAAUUUCACACUUGC